UACGUAGGGCGCAAGCGUUAUCCGGAAUUAUUGGGCGUAAAGAGCUCGUAGGCGGCUUGUUGCGUCGACUGUGAAAACCCGUGGCUCAACCAUGUGGUCUGCAGUCGAUACGGGCAGGCUAGAAUUCGGUAGGGGAGACUGGAAUUCCUGGUGUAGCGGUGAAAUGCGCAGAUAUCAGGAGGAACACCGAUGGCGAAGGCAGGUCUCUGGGCCGAUAUUGACGCUGAGGAGCGAAAGCGUGGGGAGCGAACAGG
RNAcentral lists this ribosomal RNA (254 nucleotides) under uncultured bacterium. RNAcentral's name for it is "partial 16S ribosomal RNA". It matches the Rfam family "Bacterial small subunit ribosomal RNA", at positions 524 to 776 of the family's 1533-position model. The record is from RNAcentral.